AUGAACCUAGACAUUCCACCAUACUUUGUCUUGGUCAGUGAUUUGACAUCUAAGAUGAUGCCUUCCCUGGAAGACAUGACAGGAGCAGGCUCCCUAGCACCUUGUAUCUUCUACCCUUUGGGACAGGCAAAGCAGCUUAAUCUCUGAGGUUUGGCUAGAAGUGCUAUAUUUCAUUUCUAUCUGCAUGCUAUUGAUCAGAAUGUAGAUGCAUCUGUACACAUGAGGUAGGAUGCAACACAUGGUCACUAGGUUGGUGGUCCUUUCCCGACAGAACAUGUAGGGACUCUAUUUACUAAAGUUAAUAGGACAGUUAGCAGUUCCUGUCAAUAUCAUUUCAUAUAGUACAAAAGUUCUAUUGGACUAAGAGCUAAGACAAUGGGAAUAUAUCUUGAUUUAGUUCAAAGUAAUCAUGAGACCUUGAGUGUCUGAGCUUCACAGUUCUACUUUUUGUAGAUUUUGCUGCCUUCUCUGUUCUUCUCUCUCUCCCUCCCUCCCUCCUUUCCUUCUUUCUUGCUUUAUUUCAAUUUUUUUUUUAUAUUUAUCUGAAAGACAUAGUAAAAAGAGAAAGCAGGAGAGACAGAGUUAUCUUCCUGGAUAGAAAAAUGAAACAAAAGAGAAACACCAGAAAUCAGUCCAACCAUCUACAACCAAGUUAUAUUUGACAAAGGAGCUUAAACCAUUCCCUAAAACAAAGACAGUCUCUUCAACAAAUGAUGCUGGGAAAACUGGAUUUCUACAUGCAGAAAUAUGAAGCAAGACCCAUACCUUACACUUUACACAAAAAUCCACUCAAAAUGGAUUAAAGACCUAAAUCUAUGACCCAAUACCAUCAAAUUACUAGACAGCAUUGAGAAAACCCUUCAAGACAUUGGCCUAGGCACAGAGUUUCUGGAAAUUACCCCAGAGGCGCAAGCAAUAAAAGCUAAGAUUAACAAGUGGGAUUGCA
This 946-nucleotide long non-coding RNA is filed under the name Oryctolagus cuniculus (rabbit). Its description in RNAcentral is "lncRNA (ENSOCUG00000034213.1)". Lineage: Eukaryota; Metazoa; Chordata; Mammalia; Lagomorpha; Leporidae. The record is from RNAcentral.